This 211-nucleotide long non-coding RNA is filed under the name Elaeis guineensis (African oil palm). RNAcentral's name for it is "long non-coding RNA (EGUI_LNC037468)". Lineage: Eukaryota; Viridiplantae; Streptophyta; Magnoliopsida; Arecales; Arecaceae. The record is from RNAcentral.
CUGGCUUGCCAUAACAUAUUACUAAAUAUCAUAUGGCUGAUCAAUGAUUAAGAAUCGUUCAAGGGUAUAAUCGUCAAUAUGAUUGAUAAUCAACCUUAUGCAAAAGCUGUGAUAAAAUAAUUUACUAAGAGUUAGUAAAUUAAUGAAGAAUUAAUUAGCAAUUAGAUUACUGAUUAGCUUAAUUUAAUUGAGCAAUGAGAUUUGGAUCCAG